This 234-nucleotide ribosomal RNA is filed under the name Triticum aestivum (bread wheat). RNAcentral describes it as "partial small subunit ribosomal RNA". Lineage: Eukaryota; Viridiplantae; Streptophyta; Magnoliopsida; Poales; Poaceae. The record is from RNAcentral.
AUGGUGGAAGAUGUGUAUCCGAAGGAGAGAGGAGGUAUGGGAUUCCAGGAUAUUCAUAGCUUUAACUUGGCAAUGUUGGCAAAGCAGUGUUGGAGACUAAUUGAGAACUUUGGUUCAUUAUGUGCACGGGUUCUGAGAGACAAGUACUACCCUACAGGAGAUAUUCUGAAUUGUCAACUGAAGAAGGGGUCGUCCUAUGUGUGGCAAAGCAUUUGGUCUAGAAUUCAAACGUUC